Molecule: ribosomal RNA, 1371 nt
Filed under: uncultured bacterium
Lineage: Bacteria
Description: bacterial SSU rRNA
Rfam family: Bacterial small subunit ribosomal RNA
Source: RNAcentral
GAUGAACGCUGGCGGCGUGCCUAAUACAUGCAAGUCGAGCGAACAGAUAAGGAGCUUGCUCCUUUGAAGUUAGCGGCGGACGGGUGAGUAACACGUGGGUAACCUACCUAUAAGACUGGGAUAACUUCGGGAAACCGGAGCUAAUACCGGAUAACAUUUAGAACCGCAUGGUUCUAAAGUGAAAGAUGGUUUUGCUAUCACUUAUAGAUGGACCCGCGCCGUAUUAGCUAGUUGGUAAGGUAACGGCUUACCAAGGCGACGAUACGUAGCCGACCUGAGAGGGUGAUCGGCCACACUGGAACUGAGACACGGUCCAGACUCCUACGGGAGGCAGCAGUAGGGAAUCUUCCGCAAUGGGCGAAAGCCUGACGGAGCAACGCCGCGUGAGUGAUGAAGGGUUUCGGCCCGUAAAACUCUGUUAUUAGGGAAGAACAAAUGUGUAAGUAACUGUGCACAUCUUGACGGUACCUAAUCAGAAAGCCACGGCUAACUACGUGCCAGCAGCCGCGGUAAUACGUAUGUGGCAAGCGUUAUCCGGAAUUAUUGUGCGUAAAGCGCGCGUAGGCGGUUUCUUAGUCUGAUGUGAAAGCCCACGGCUCAACCGUGGAGGGUCAUUGGAAACUGGGAAACUUGAGUGCACAAAAGGAAAGUGGAAUUCCAUGUGUAGCGGUGAAAUGCGCACAGAUAUGGAGGAACACCACUGGCGAAAGCGACUUUCUGGUCUGUAACUGACACUGAUGUGCGAAAGCGUGGGGAUCAAACAGGAUUAUAUACCCUGGUAGUCCACGCCGUAAACAAUGAGUGCUAAGUGUUAGGGGGUUUCCGCCCCUUAUUGCUGCAGCUAACGCAUUAAGCACUCCGCCUGGGGAGUACGACCGCAAGGUUGAAACUCAAAGGAAUUGACGGGGACCCGCACAAGCGGUGGAGCAUGUGGUUUAAUUAGAAGCAACGCGAAGAACCUUACCAAAUCUUGACAUCCUUUGAAAACUCUAGAGAUAGAGCCUUCCCCUUCGGGGGACAAAGUGACAGGUGGUGCAUGGUUGUCGUCAGCUCGUGUCGUGAGAUGUUGGGUUAAGUCCCGCAACGAGCGCAACCCUUAAGCUUAGUUGCCAUCAUUAAGUUGGGCACUAUAGGUUGACUGCCGGUGACAAACCGGAGGAAGGUGGGGAUGACGUCAAAUCAUCAUGCCCCUUAUGAUUUGGGCUACACACGUGCUACAAUGGACAAUACAAAGGGCAGCUAAACCGCGAGGUCAUGCAAAUCCCAUAAAGUUGUUCUCAGUUCGGAUUGUAGUCUGCAACUCGACUACAUGAAGCUGGAAUCGCUAGUAAUCGUAGAUCAGCAUGCUACGGUGAAUACGUUCCCGGGUCU